AAGGAAAUUAAGUACGGAAGUUCCUGAUUUCACGCUGUCAAGAAAAGCCUCUAGGAAGAGUAGUACUGCCCGUACCGCAAACCGACACAGGUAGAUGAGGAGAGAAUCCUAAGGUGAGCGAGAGAACUCUCGUUAAGGAACUCGGCAAAAUGACCCCGUAACUUCGGGAGAAGGGGUGCUCUAUUAGGGUGCAAGCCCGAGAGAGCCGCAGUGAAUAGGCCCAGGCGACUGUUUAGCAAAAACACAGGUCUCUGC
RNAcentral lists this ribosomal RNA (255 nucleotides) under Listeria monocytogenes. Its description in RNAcentral is "partial 23S ribosomal RNA". It matches the Rfam family "Bacterial large subunit ribosomal RNA", at positions 1570 to 1826 of the family's 2925-position model. Lineage: Bacteria; Bacillati; Bacillota; Bacilli; Caryophanales; Listeriaceae. The record is from RNAcentral.